AUUGCUUCUGUUUUGAAUAUCAUAUUCGUGCCUGCCGGUGGAAAAAUUAGAGCGACAUAUUAGUGCAUUGGUAAAGUGCUCUUAUCAUUCUGUUAUAGUCAACUGCAGCCAAUCUUCUUUGGACAAUAAGUUGUAUUGGUGGAGCAGUUUCCUGAGCUUUGGAAGUGUUUGGGCUUGUUCGAGUUGCAAUUACAACUGUAGUGUUGCGUGAAUAAAGCAUCACGUUCGCUGUGAAUUUGUAGCAACGUUUUACCAAUUAGGAUGUUGGAACCGUCUUGCAAAUUUUCAUCAGCGCUGCAGUUUUUGUGCUUUUAUUGCGUGCCUCGAGCAGGCCCUUUAUCAGUGAAUAGUUGUGGUUGUUGUAGUAGUAGCCGCAUUACGAAGCCCGGCCUCAGUCGGUUUUCCAUCAACAACAACGACAAUAAUAACCUGUUUAUGCAUUCCUGUUUUAUUGCAUUCCCCUUUCCAAAUUAAUAUUAUACUAUGUUUAAGGCUCGGUGAAAUAAAUGAAGCGCUACUGGAGGCAAAUUAAAAUAUCUCCCUCAGCAAAAAUGAGACUCUCGCUCAUGAUGAAAGCAUGUUAAUAGUUUAUUCUUUGAAACAUCACCGACAUAGUCAUAUUCUAAAGCAUCAUCAACGCCAUCACCAAAUUCAAUGCCAUCAACACCAUCAGCGGCUAGUAACAAUGUAUACCACAGAUUUAUGGCGAAUUACAAGGAGGCAAAAAACAUAUACAUAUGUAGGAAUUGUAAAAUUCCUAAAAUUUUGCAAAGUUUUAAGAAAACUGCAUUUUCUUGCACCACUAUAACUGACUUCCAAUUGUUAAUAUAUAUCAAAAGAAAGCUAAAAGGAUUACCUUUCCUUUGAUUAUAAAACCAUUUAAAUCGCUGGACAUUUUUAUGCAAAUUUCGCAACUUUUGAAAUCAUCUCUAUGUAAG
Long non-coding RNA from Rhagoletis pomonella (apple maggot), 938 nucleotides. RefSeq lists it as uncharacterized. The transcript has 3 exons. Lineage: Eukaryota; Metazoa; Arthropoda; Insecta; Diptera; Tephritidae. The record is from RefSeq and is a predicted model, not a curated record.